GGGGCCGUAGCUCAGCUGGGAGAGCGCCGCGUUCGCAAUGCGGAGGUCAGGGGUUCGAGUCCCCUCGGCUCCA
Molecule: transfer RNA, 73 nt
Filed under: Gemmatimonadota bacterium
Lineage: Bacteria; Pseudomonadati; Gemmatimonadota
Description: Gemmatimonadetes bacterium (marine metagenome) tRNA-Ala
Rfam family: tRNA
About the family: Transfer RNA (tRNA) molecules are approximately 80 nucleotides in length. Their secondary structure includes four short double-helical elements and three loops (D, anti-codon, and T loops).
Source: RNAcentral